CGCUAUCACUCCUACGGGAGGCAGCAGUGGGAAUAUUGCACAAUGGGGGAAACCCUGAUGCAGCCAUGCCGCGUGUGUGAAGAAGGCCUUCGGGUGUUAAAGCACUUUCAGUAGGGAGGAAGGUAGUGUAGUUAACACCUGCAUUAUUUGACGUUACCUACAGAAGAAGCACCGGCUAACUCCGUGCCAGCAGCCGCGGUAAUACGGAGGGUGCGAGCGUUAAUCGGAAUUACUGGGCGUAAAGCGCAUGCAGGCGGCCUGUUAAGUCAGAUGUGAAAGCCCGGGGCUUAACCUCGGAAUUGCAUUUGAAACUGGCAGGCUAGAGUCUUGUAGAGGGGGGUAGAAUUUCAGGUGUAGCGGUGAAAAUGCGUAGAGAUCUGAAGGAAUACCAGUGGCGAAGGCGGCCCCCUGGACAAAGACUGACGCUCAGAUGCGAAAGCGUGGGGAGCAAACAGGAUUAGAUACCCUGGUAG
Molecule: ribosomal RNA, 473 nt
Filed under: uncultured bacterium
Lineage: Bacteria
Description: bacterial SSU rRNA
Rfam family: Bacterial small subunit ribosomal RNA
Source: RNAcentral